GACGAACGCUGGCGGCGUGCUUAACACAUGCAAGUCGAGCGGUAAGGCCCUUUCGGGGGUACACGAGCGGCGAACGGGUGAGUAACACGUGGGUGACCUGCCUUUAGCUCUGGGAUAAGCCUGGGAAACCGGGUCUAAUACCGGAUAUGACUCCGCGGCGCAUGUUGUGGGGUGGAAAGCCUUGUGCGGCUGGAGAUGGGCCCGCGGCCUAUCAGCUUGUUGGUGGGGUGAUGGCCUACCAAGGCGACGACGGGUGGCCGGCCUGAGAGGGCGACCGGCCACACUGGGACUGAGACACGGCCCAGACUCCUACGGGAGGCAGCAGUGGGGAAUCUUGCGCAAUGGGCGAAAGCCUGACGCAGCGACGCCGCGUGAGGAUGAC
Molecule: ribosomal RNA, 382 nt
Filed under: uncultured bacterium
Lineage: Bacteria
Description: bacterial SSU rRNA
Rfam family: Bacterial small subunit ribosomal RNA
Source: RNAcentral